This is a long non-coding RNA of Cryptotermes secundus, 2649 nucleotides long. RefSeq lists it as uncharacterized. The transcript has 2 exons. The record is from RefSeq and is a predicted model, not a curated record. Lineage: Eukaryota; Metazoa; Arthropoda; Insecta; Blattodea; Kalotermitidae.
UUUCUCUAGUAUUCUCAGGUAUACCGAACAUACAAAAUGUCUUCAGCCUUUCUGAACAUGUACAGUAAAAUAUUACUUAAAAAUGUCAGUGAUAUUUGUUACACUGUUAGAACACGAAAUGGAAACUUGUUUUUGGUGUCUAUACUUCAGAAAUACAAUGGAAUUAACAUGACAGUGUCAAAUCCAAGAGAAUUAUGUACAGGAACAAGCAAAUACAGUGCAGUUGGUAAAUUAGCACACAAUCAGAAGCCUGACUGGAAUAAGGCUGUGUCAGAAGCUGAGAAAGUAGUCAGCUACCUGACCUCAUUUUUGAGCUUAUGUUGGCUCUUGAGUGAUGAAAUUGCAAAUGUGGUUCUCCAUUUGCGUAAACUAGUUGGUUCAAAUCACCCGUUACUGAAAACUGCAAAGGACCUGUUCUGAUACCAUUCAAGACAACAAAGGGACCCAGUGGAUUUGAUCUCAGAGGACCAGGACAUCAUGGCAAUGGAUCCCUCGAGAAGUGAAUCAAAAGAUGUAAAGACUGCUGUAUAUCUGAUAAAAUGGAGGCUGAAGAAUUUGGGAAUGUUGGCAGUGAACAUGAGAGUGUUAGUAGUGAAUCUGAGAGAGAUGUGAAUUGUGAAGACAACAGAACUGGGACAGACAAUAGGAAUGGUCAACACAAGACACAUGAAGCUGAAUGAAGGUGAUGGCUUAAAGAAGGACACUAAGUCAAUAAAUGUCACAUUGUAACAUGUUUCCAGUAUUUGUUUUCUUUCAUGCAUUUGUAAUAGGAGUAUGAAAUUACUUUUUCUCUGCACAUAUUUCAGGUUUGUCAGUAGCAUACUGGAAAAGUGGCUAGGGCUUUAAAUUAUUACAGUGAUAAAAAAGAGGUAUAUUAGAGAGAAUUCUCAUUCACAUCUCAAUUAUUGAAAUUUUCCUGAAUUCUCAUCUUGAAAUGAAAGCCAUUCUUCCUUAUGCCUAUUAAAUAAGUGACUUUAAAAGAACUUCAUAUUUCUGAACAUUGACUCCCAUUAGUUAACCCAUACUUUCAGGUCCACCAGUGAGAACAUAAGGAUUUCUCUCACUCCCUUGGUGCAAACUGUACAUAUGAGGAAGAGGUUUAAGGUCAGUCACUUGGUGAUUGAAGGUGGAAAGCUCAGGAUCCCCCAGAAAUUGACAGAAUAGCCUGUCACAAAACAGUGUCACCCAUGAAAAACUUGAUACAUAUAUCUCAAUGUGUGACAUUUUCUCACCUUGGCUUUCUUUUCCUGUUCUUUAUUUUGUUUAUGUAACACCCACUGCUUGCUAAUAAUGUCUAUGAGUGCUUCCCCAAGGAUCAUAAAUUGCUUCUUAAUGCUGUUCCUUGUACAAUUUGAUGUGCUUCAUCAGCUCCCUCUCAACCUUCGGCAAUUCCUGUUAAGAGGAAGGACAAAGAACAACAUAUGGAUCCUUACACUUAACUCUGGUUGAACAAAACACCAAAACCAACCAAUGAACAUAUUCCAUCUACCAAUCCUCAAUCUGUUUUCUAAAAUACAAAUUGUCUAUAAAGUGAUCCCUUUCCAAGAGGUUUUCCACUAAAAUUCUGCUAGUGUUUCUUGUCUCCUCUAUACUAGGUACAUGUUCAGUUUAUCACAACUAUCACAGUUUUCUACCUUAACAAUAGCAGAUUGUGUGUAUAAACAACUUUUCUUUAGUUUCCUUUACAUCUCCAAAUGAAAUUUGCUUCGAUGUUUUGAAACAAGAGUUGAUGUUUAUGCACGAAAUUACAGCUUAACGUUGUUUCUGUAUAUGAAUAGUAGCUUACUAGGCAGAAUGAAUUUAGAAAUAUGUAUCAAGUCAAAAUUCUUUGUUAACGAUAUUUCAUGGAAAACAUACUUCUGUUUUGACAUAUUAAGAAUCUUUCUGUUUAGCCCAAAGAAGGUCUGUAAAAUCUCAAGAAACUCUAAGUGUACUGUGAUUGUGUUAUAAUGUCUGUAUUGUUCCUUGCAGUAUAAAUGGAAAGAAAGAAAGAUGCUCUGCCCCUGGUUGGUUGUCAUCAGGUGGGCAAAGAGCAAUUAAAUUCUUCCACUUCCCCAGGAAUUCAGCAUGGUAUAUCUGUUUUAAUUCAUUGUGUAAUGGUUUGGCGUGUGUUGCUUAAUCCAAUGACUAAAUUAAGUUUAGCUAAUGCCUGCAUUAAAUGUAUUAAAUGUAACCCCCACAAUGUAGCACAUGCACCAUGUUUGUAAUGUUUACUGAUGAAUUAUUUCAAGGUUUCGAGACAAUAUGUAAUACUUUUACAGGGCUAUUGUAUGGGCAAGAAGAGUCGGGUAUCCUACACUAUUAAUUCUUAUAGAAUGUUGUACUGUAAAUAUUUGUGCAGCAGACAUUUUGCAGAAAGUGAUUUCACUACAGGUGAAAGGGUACGCCUUAACAGAGUGGCAGUUCCAUGUGGCUCAGAUUCUGUUGCACAGACACACACCCACAGCCUCCCAACCCUUCAUUACAUACCCCUUCUUUUGAACCCCUCUCUUCAGUUUUAACUCCUGAACUGAACUGGAAGAUGAAUAGAUGCCAGAUUUUUAGUAUUCAGUAUAUUUCUGUAAGAUAUAUUAUAAUUCUUGCUAUGUAUCCAGUACUGAACUGGUGCACAUGAAUAUAAGAUUUUCAAUAUUUACUGCAUUUCUUUAA